GAACUUUCAGCCCCACCCCAACCCUCCAGGGAGGGGAGAGGGGGUGGAGGUGAGUUAAUGCUUACGUGAUGAGCCUCUGUAAAAAUCCCUCAGCUACAGGGUUUGCAGAGUUUCCAGGUUGGUGGAGUUUCCAUGUGCUAGGAGGAUACUGUAUCCCGACUCCAUGGGGGCAGAAGGUCCUACAGUCAGGACCGUCCUGGACUUCGCCCUUUGUACCUCUUCAUCUAGCUGCUUGUCCGUACCCUUUAUUAUAUCCUUUAUAACAUUUCCCUGAGUUCUGUGAGCAGUUCCAACAAAUUCUCAAACCUGAGGAGGGGAUUGUGGGAUUCCCCCAAUUUAGAGCUGAUUGGUCAGAAAUAUGGGUGACAACCUAGGACUUGGGAUUGGUGUCUGAAGUGGGGUCAGUCUUGUGGGAGUGAGCCUUCAACCUGUGGAGUCUGUGUUAACUCCAGGUAGUCAGUGUCAGGACUGAGUUCACUGAGAGGAGACCCAAUGGGUGUCCACGGAGAAGUGGAGAAUUGUUUGGUAUGGGGACCCCAUUGGGGUCAGAAGUAUUCAAGUCUUUCUUUUGGUCACAUCUGAGGUUCUGGGGAGACGUGAAUUUUGGGGAGACUCUGCAUCCCACUAUGGAGCCUACGUGGAUAUGCUGCAGCUCUUGUGCUCACUUUCCAUUGGCCAGAAAUUAGUCCCAUGGCUGUACCUAAUUAUGAGAGACACUGGACACUGUCAUCGAGCUGUGGCCAGGAUGACUAGGAAACUGGUUUGGGGACCAGCUACCAGUUUCUGCCACAUGGGGGAGGGUUCUUGUCCAGGACCCAAAAGCUCAGGCCUCCGGGGGAGGAAGGACUCCCCCUGAAGCAGAACCAGUAAUAUACUGACAAGAUCUCUUAUCUAGUCCCCUUGUCUGUGGCAGACUGGCUGAUCUGCCUCAGACAUUUUCUCUUUGAUUCGCAAGUUUCCAGGUCUGUUGCAGGUGCUUGCAGAGCUAACGAGCUGGUUGCACCACUUGUGCUGCAGGUGAAAUCCUUCAAGGCCCUAGUGUUCCAGAACACCUGGGUCCAUUGCAAAUUCUUCCCCACCCUCCAAGGCAAUCUGGCCCUCCUCUUGUUUGUAACUCUUGUCAGGGGAGAAUACAUCUUCCUCAUUGCAGGUGCUUCCUUCGCGGGACAGUGUUUCCUCGGACCGUGCGCUCCUGGUAACCCCCGUCUACCACUUGCUCCCUGGAAGGAGACGAGACCCAUCAGAACAAUCCGUCGACAUCAAAGACGCAGAGUUUCUAUUGGUACGAAGGACAGAGUCGUCGUCCUGGUCCCGGCAUCCCUCAGGACGCAGUGCCUUCUUGGAGCCCUGGGGUCCGACUGUCAAUAA
Molecule: long non-coding RNA, 1368 nt
Filed under: Ursus maritimus (polar bear)
Lineage: Eukaryota; Metazoa; Chordata; Mammalia; Carnivora; Ursidae
Description: lncRNA (ENSUMAG00000019747.1)
Source: RNAcentral